AUGAGUAUGCGCAGGCUUCAGAAGAGGCUCACCUCUCAUGUCCUUUGCUGUGGCAAGGAGAAGGUCUAAUUGCACUCCAAGGAGACCAGUGAAAUCACCAAUGCCACCUCCCAUCAGCAGAUCCAGAAGCUGAUCAAAGAUAGGCUGAACAUCCACAAGCCUGUGACUGUCCAUUUCCGGGCUCGAUGCUGGAAAAAUGCCUUGGCCUGCUGGAAGGGUGAGUACAUGGACAUAGGUAAGCUAAAGGGUAUGGCCAAUGCCUGAAUGCCAGAGAAGGUAACUUGGAUGAGGAGAAUGAGGAUUCUGCACGGGCUGCUCAGAAGAUCCCAUGAAGUUAAGAAGAUUGACCACCAAAUGUAUCCCAGCUUGUACCUGAAGGUGAAAGCAAAUGUGUUCAAAACAAGCAGAUUCUCAUGGAGCACAUCCUCAUGGAGCACGUCCACGAGCUGAAGGCAGAAAAGGCCCAAAAGAAGCUCCUGGCUGCCCAGGCUGAGGCCCACAGGUCUGAGAACAAGCAAGCACACAAGUGGCUGAAGAGUACACUCAGGCCAAGAAGGAGGUGAUAUCAAGACUUUGUCCAAGGAGGAAGAGAGAAGCAAUAA
RNAcentral lists this long non-coding RNA (602 nucleotides) under Homo sapiens (human). RNAcentral's name for it is "non-protein coding lnc-C19orf18-1:1". Lineage: Eukaryota; Metazoa; Chordata; Mammalia; Primates; Hominidae. The record is from RNAcentral.